GCCUGGGUGGCUCAGUUGGUUAAGCGUCUGACUUUGGCUCAGGUCAUGAUCCCACAGUUCGUGGGAUCGAGCCCAUGUCAGGCU
Molecule: transfer RNA, 84 nt
Filed under: Felis catus (domestic cat)
Lineage: Eukaryota; Metazoa; Chordata; Mammalia; Carnivora; Felidae
Also listed under: 1 other name
Rfam family: tRNA
About the family: Transfer RNA (tRNA) molecules are approximately 80 nucleotides in length.
Source: Rfam by way of RNAcentral